GAGGAUGUAGCGUAAUGGCAGCGCAACGCGGAUCCGGUAGGUGCAGGUUCGACUCCUGCCAUCCUCGCAA
Molecule: transfer RNA, 70 nt
Filed under: Muribaculaceae bacterium M3
Lineage: Bacteria; Pseudomonadati; Bacteroidota; Bacteroidia; Bacteroidales; Muribaculaceae
Also listed under: 1 other name
Description: tRNA-OTHER
Rfam family: tRNA
About the family: Transfer RNA (tRNA) molecules are approximately 80 nucleotides in length. Their secondary structure includes four short double-helical elements and three loops (D, anti-codon, and T loops). Further hydrogen bonds mediate the characteristic L-shaped molecular structure. tRNAs have two regions of fundamental functional importance: the anti-codon, which is responsible for specific mRNA codon recognition, and the 3' end, to which the tRNAs corresponding amino acid is attached (by aminoacyl-tRNA synthetases). tRNAs cope with the degeneracy of the genetic code in two manners: having more than one tRNA (with a specific anti-codon) for a particular amino acid; and 'wobble' base-pairing, i.e. permitting non-standard base-pairing at the 3rd anti-codon position.
Source: RNAcentral